This 72-nucleotide transfer RNA is filed under the name Oscillochloris trichoides DG-6. It matches the Rfam family "tRNA". From Rfam's summary of the family: Transfer RNA (tRNA) molecules are approximately 80 nucleotides in length. RNAcentral also lists the same sequence under 2 other names. Lineage: Bacteria; Bacillati; Chloroflexota; Chloroflexia; Chloroflexales; Oscillochloridaceae. The record is from Rfam by way of RNAcentral.
GGGCCUCUAGCUCAAUGGUAGAGCAGUUGACUCUUAAUCAAUUGGUUCAGGGUUCGAGUCCCUGGGGGCCCA